Molecule: telomerase RNA, 1382 nt
Filed under: Metarhizium acridum CQMa 102
Lineage: Eukaryota; Fungi; Ascomycota; Sordariomycetes; Hypocreales; Clavicipitaceae
Description: Ascomycota telomerase RNA
Rfam family: Ascomycota telomerase RNA
Source: Rfam by way of RNAcentral
CUUCCUUCGCGUCGCCUCCCGCACAGUUUACCGAAUCUCAUUUUCCGCGAGGAAUGUCUAUUGCAGGCCCCCUUCCAAGGCUCUUUUACAUACGCCAUGCUGCUUUCAUACCCGUAUCAGGACAUUGGUUUAUAGCAACAUAUGGCCCGUAACUGGAGGCACGGACAGGGGAAUGGGCUCGGAAACUUAACCCUAAGAUAAGAUCUGGUUGUAGUAUUGCGUCAGUUUGACCCGUCUUUUAAGCCUACGAAUGAGUCGAAACCCGUCAACCGCUGAAAAGCGGCCGGCUGGAAACGAGUCUUUCGGCGGGCGGACUGAUAGGGAGAACCGUCCAGUCACGGUAUGGUGCCAUACUGUGCAAGAGAUUGGAGCCAUGAGUCUAUUCGAGAAGAGCCUCUGGUCUGAGGACACUCGUCAGCCCGAUCUACUGGAACCGGGGGUUGGCCAGUAUGGGCAGUUCCAAAGAUGCUGUUGAUAAAGAGAGAAACUGUCAUUUCGAACGGGGAGAGUUGAGCCAAGCAUUGGAUACACACUAUCAGUCACUGCGUUUCAUUGAAUAUCACCACGAAUGGAUUGCCUUGCCGGAAUCACUCAUCAAGUCCGAGUGUAGUGAGGAUUUCAUGGGUACAAACAGAAACACUUCACUGAUACACUGACUCACCAAACUUGAUAUGCUCUCGGAUCUCUCGACGUCGCCUAGGCUAUUUCUUGCCGUGUCACUUCUGACCGCAUUGUCAACAAGCACUUGGAAUCACAUCUGGGGUAACUCCCAAUAUGUGUGAUGAUCACAUCAAGCCUAGCCACACGCAUUAACUUUCCAUUGCAAGAAUCAGCAAGCAAUGACGAAAGAUGCCAGUCAAUCGUUGUGGUGUCUCUUGACCCUCGACAAUUUCCUCGACAGCCUUCCGAAAGGAAUGAAUCGAGACGAAAGCGCGGUUUUUGUGGAUGUCUUUUGUCCGCGCGUCGAUGCCCUCCUUGCUAGCAUUGACGAUGCAUGAUGGAGAGGAUACAAAAACUAGUCCUUGUUGGCAGCGAAGAACACACAGAAGGAGUUGUUGUUUUAUUGACGGUCGAGUCUCACGUUUGCUGUGUUUCCAAGAAAAGCGUGGAAGCAUCUGAGUCAAUGAGUACUACGCGACCCUGAAUCCUCUCUGUCGGUUUCUACAUUGAGCCUUAUCCUGGGACCCAUCCCGAGUUGGAGUCAAAGUUUCGUGCUUGUCUGGGAUUGGGGGAAAUGGAGUUUUGGCACGAAAGGUGAACGGCAAUCGGGUAACGAAUUGGCACUCAGUUGAUUGGUUUUAAAGGGCAGGCCUCGAGGGAGUAGGCAGCUCUGGUUGUCCCCGUGCCAGCAAUGGUAGGAGGACAACCCCCCAGCAGUGAGG